This is a long non-coding RNA of Mustela lutreola (European mink), 2539 nucleotides long. RefSeq lists it as uncharacterized. The record is from RefSeq and is a predicted model, not a curated record. The transcript is spliced from 3 exons. NCBI's taxonomy places the organism in Eukaryota, Metazoa, Chordata, Mammalia, Carnivora, Mustelidae.
UGUCUUCAAUCUGGGCCCCCAAGCAACAGGGUCAUCUGUUUUGGCUCCUUCUCUGUGUAAACAGGGCUGGCAGCCCAAGUGGUUUGAGGACGGCCAGGCCCUGCUCUCCCUCUUCCCCACGCAAACACAUUACAAAGAAUCUUUGUAACUGUCCAGCAGAGUGGCCCAGCCCAGAGGAAGGGAGCCUGCAUCCGGGAGGGGGUGAGGGGAGAGAGACGUGCUGGAGGGUGGCAAGCGGAGGUGGCCGAGGGACGGUACCCAGCAACUCCCCAUACUGUAUGAUGUGGGGGCAUCAGCGUUGCUGUGUCUAACCACCAGAGGAAAGGGUCUGUCCCCUGCAGCAGAAACCAGGGAGGGAAUGAAGGCUGAUAUCCUGCAGUUCCGACACUUUUUUCAAAAAAAGGACUAAGCCUGGGGUCCCUGGGUGGGACUAAACCCUCCAGCUCAGGAUAGAAGAAAGAAUAUUACUUGGGAGGUUGAGAAAACAGAUUAUAUUCCUGCCUCCACCCUGCAAUGAGCUGUGUGCCCUUUGGAUGGUGCCUUAACCUCUCUGAGAUUCCUUGUCUGGAUAAAUUAGAAUCAUACUCUCUGCCAUUCGUUGAGCUCCCUCCAUGGGACAGGAACUUCAGGUAUGUUAGUCUAUUAAUGCACACUGCUACCCAGCAAGGUCGGAGUGGUUACUCCCACUUUCCAGAUAAAGAAAGUGAGACUCGGCAAGCAGAAGGGACUUGCACAGAAAAACACACCAAGUGGCAGAAGGACCUCUUCUCUGUGCCAAACUCCAUCCUGCCCCUGCGACUCAGAAAGGCAACAGCACCCGGAAGCAAAGCACAGGAGGAAAGCUGAAUUCGGCAAGCGGUGGGCCACUUGAGGACAGCACACACCCUUCUUCCCUCCUGGCAGCUCAGGUAGGCUCCGUGCCCAACAUGAGGCUUGAUCUCAUCACCCCAAGAUCGAGAGUUGCCACUGACUAAGCCAAGCAGGCACUCCACACCUGCCUUUCUUUUUUUUUUUUUUUUUUUUUUUUAAGAUUUUAUUUAUUUAUUUUAGUUGGGGAAGGGGCAGAGGGAGAGAGAGAAAGAAUCCCAAGCCAACUCCUCACUGAGCACAUGAAGCCCAGCUCGAGGCUCUACCCUGCUACUGAGAUCACGACCUGAGCCGAAAUCAAGAGUCGGAUGCUUAACCGACUGAACCACCCAGGCCCCCCAGCUCCUUUUCUUUUAAACGAUCUUCCCAGUUCUACUGGUAUAUAACGGACACAUUGUAUUAGUUUAAGGUGUAGGAUGUAAUGAUUUGAUAAAUGUAUAUAUUGCAAAAUAGUCACUGCAAUAAGUUAACAUUCACCACCAUACAUAGUUACAAAAAUUUUUUUCUUGUGAUAAGAACUUUUAAGAUUGACUCUCUCAGCAACUUUCAAAUAUACAAUACAGUAUUGCCAACUAUAGGCACCAUACUGAACAUUACACUGCCAGAAAUUGCCUUAUAAUUGGAAGUUUGUACCUUUUGACCACCUUUACUCAUUUUCCUCAAUCUCUAAGCCUCUGGCGAUCACCAAUCUGUUCUGUUUCUAGAUCUUUUUUAGAUUUGUUUCUAGAUUUGUUUCUGUUCUUUUUUUUAGAUUUUACAUGUAAGUAAGAUCAUAAAUAUGUCUUUCUGCGUGUGACUUGUUUCACUUAACAUGAUGACUCAAUGUCCAGUUGUAUUGUUGCAAACAGGAUUUACUUCUUUUCUAUGGCUGAAUAAUACUCCAUCAUAUAUACGUGUGUGUGUGUGUGUGUGUGUGUGUGUGUCUGUGUAUCUGACAUUUUCUUCAUCCAUUUAUCUACAGAAGGACACUAGUUUGCUUCCAUGUGUUGGUUAUUGUAAAUAAUGCCAUGAUGAACAACACAUGGGUAUAGAUAGCUUUUGGAGACAGUGAUUUCAUUUCCUUUAGAUAAACACCCAGAAAUGGAAUUGCUAGAUCAUAUAGUAAAAAUAGGUAGCUGUUCAGCAAUUUCCACAAUAGCCAAACUACAGAAAGAUCCGAGAUGUCCACUGAUGAAUGAAUGGAGAAGGAAGUUGUGGUGUGUGUGUGUGUGUGUGUAUGUACAACACACAUACAUAUAUGUAUGUACACACACACACACACAAGGGAAUAUUAUUCAGACAUCAGAAGGAUGGACACUCAUCAUUUACAUCAAGAUGGAUGGAACUGGAGGGUAUGAACCUGGGCAAAAUAAAUCAUUCAGGAGUGACUGGGUGGCUCAGUGGGUUAGGUGAUUGCCUUCAGCUCAGGUCAUGAUCCCAGGGUCCUGGGAUCCAGCCCCACAUCAGGCUCUCUGCUCAGUGGGGACCCUGCCUCCCCCUCUCUCUCUGUUUGCUCUUCUGCCUACUUGUGCUCUUUAUCUCUCUGUCAAAUAAAUAAAUAAAAAUCUUUAAAAGAAAUAAGUCAGGGGCACCUGAGUGGCUCAGUGGGUUAAAGCCUCUGCCUUCAGCUCAGGUCGUGAUCUCAGGGUCCUGGGAUCAAGCCCCGCAUUGGGCUCUCUUCUUGGUGGAGAGU